CCUACGGGUGGCUGCAGUGGGGAAUAUUGCGCAAUGGGCGAAAGCCUGACGCAGCGACGCCGCGUGAGGGAUGAAGGUCUUCGGAUCGUAAACCCCUGUCAGCAGGGAAGAACGGUCACUGUGCUAAUCAGCAGUGAAUUGACGGUACCUGCAAAGGAAGCACCGGCUAACUCCGGGCCAGCAGCCGCGGUAAUACGGAGGGUGCGAGCGUUAAUCGGAAUGACUGGGCGUAAAGGGCGCGUAGGCGGUAUGUCAAGUCAAGGGUGAAAGCCCCGCGCUCAACGUGGGAACUGCCGUUGAAACUGGCAGACUGGAGUGGGUGAGAGGAAAGUGGAAUUCCAGGUGUAGGAGUGAAAUCCGUAGAUAUCUGGAGGAACAUCGGUGGCGAAGGCGACUAUCUGGCACAUAACUGACGCUGAGGAGCGAAAGCGUGGGUAGCAAACAGGAUUAGAUACCCUAGUAGUC
Molecule: ribosomal RNA, 465 nt
Filed under: uncultured bacterium
Lineage: Bacteria
Description: partial 16S ribosomal RNA
Rfam family: Bacterial small subunit ribosomal RNA
Source: RNAcentral